Molecule: ribosomal RNA, 404 nt
Filed under: Actinomycetes bacterium
Lineage: Bacteria; Bacillati; Actinomycetota; Actinomycetes
Description: Actinobacteria bacterium partial 16S ribosomal RNA
Rfam family: Bacterial small subunit ribosomal RNA
Source: RNAcentral
UGGGGAAUAUUGGACAAUGGGCGCAAGCCUGAUCCAGCCAUGCCGCGUGAGUGAUGAAGGCCCUAGGGUUGUAAAGCUCUUUCACCGGUGAAGAUAAUGACGGUAACCGGAGAAGAAGCCCCGGCUAACUUCGUGCCAGCAGCCGCGGUAAUACGAAGGGGGCUAGCGUUGUUCGGAUUUACUGGGCGUAAAGCGCACGUAGGCGGACUUUUAAGUCAGGGGUGAAAUCCCGGGGCUCAACCCCGGAACUGCCUUUGAUACUGGAAGUCUUGAGUAUGGUAGAGGGGGGUGGAAUUCCGAGUGUAGAGGUGAAAUUCGUAGAUAUUCGGAGGAACACCAGUGGCGAAGGCGGCUCACUGGACCAUUACUGACGCUGAGGUGCGAAAGCGGGGGGGGCAAACAGG